RNAcentral lists this ribosomal RNA (367 nucleotides) under Theopea aeneipennis. Its description in RNAcentral is "partial 16S ribosomal RNA". Lineage: Eukaryota; Metazoa; Arthropoda; Insecta; Coleoptera; Chrysomelidae. The record is from RNAcentral.
UUGAAUGGCCGCAGUAUAUUGACUGUGCUAAGGUAGCAUAAUCAUUAGUUUUUUAAUUGAAAACUGGAAUGAAGGGUUGGACGAAAAAAAAGCUGUCUAUAAUUAAUUUAAUAGAAUUUUAUAUUUAAGUUAAAAAGCUUAAAUUUUUUUAAAAGACGAGAAGACCCUAUAGAGUUUAAUAAUUAUUAAAUUAAAAUUUAUUUAGAAUAAAUAUAUUUUAAUUAAAUUAAUUAUUUAGUUGGGGUGAUUUAAAAAUUUAGUAAACUUUUUAUAUUAUUUUAUAUUGAUAUAUAAUUAUUUGAUCUGCAAGUAGUGAUUAUGAGAUUAAAUUACCUUAGGGAUAACAGCGUAAUUUUAUUUAAAAGUU